AACGAACGCUGGCGGCAGGCCUAACACAUGCAAGUCGAACGCCCUAGCAAUAGGGAGUGGCAGACGGGUGAGUAACACGUGGGAACCUUCCCUAUAGUACGGAAUAGCCCAGGGAAACUUGGAGUAAUACCGUAUACGCCCGAGAGGGGAAAGAUUUAUCGCUAUAGGAUGGGCCCGCGUCGGAUUAGCUAGUUGGUGAGGUAAUGGCUCACCAAGGCAACGAUCCGUAGCUGGUUUGAGAGAAUGACCAGCCACACUGGGACUGAGACACGGCCCAGACUCCUACGGGAGGCAGCAGUGGGGAAUCUUGGACAAUGGGCGCAAGCCUGAUCCAGCCAUGCCGCGUGAGUGAUGAAGGCCUUAGGGUUGUAAAGCUCUUUUGCCGGGGACGAUAAUGACGGUACCCGGAGAAUAAGUCCCGGCUAACUUCGUGCCAGCCGCCGCCGUAA
This 449-nucleotide ribosomal RNA is filed under the name uncultured bacterium. RNAcentral's name for it is "partial 16S ribosomal RNA". It matches the Rfam family "Bacterial small subunit ribosomal RNA", at positions 29 to 523 of the family's 1533-position model. The record is from RNAcentral.